This 484-nucleotide ribosomal RNA is filed under the name uncultured bacterium. Its description in RNAcentral is "partial 16S ribosomal RNA". It matches the Rfam family "Bacterial small subunit ribosomal RNA", at positions 30 to 507 of the family's 1533-position model. The record is from RNAcentral.
AUUGAACGCUGGCGGCAGGCCUAACACAUGCAAGUCGAGCGGAUGAAGGGAGCUUGCUCCUGGAUUCAGCGGCGGACGGGUGAGUAAUGCCUAGGAAUCUGCCUGGUAGUGGGGGAUAACGUCCGGAAACGGGCGCUAAUACCGCAUACGUCCUGAGGGAGAAAGUGGAGGAUCUUCGGACCUCACGCUAUCAGAUGAGCCUAGGUCGGAUUAGCUAGUUGGUGGGGUAAAGGCCUACCAAGGCGACGAUCCGUAACUGGCCUGAGAGGAUGAUCAGUCACACUGGAACUGAGACACGGUCCAGACUCCUACGGGAGGCAGCAGUGGGGAAUAUUGGACAAUGGGCGAAAGCCUGAUCCAGCCAUGCCGCGUGUGUGAAGAAGGUCUUCGGAUUGUAAAGCACUUUAAGUUGGGAGGAAGGGCAGUAAGUUAAUACCUUGCUGUUUUGACGUUACCAACAGAAUAAGCACCGGCUAACUUCGUG